Molecule: non-coding RNA, 74 nt
Organism: Phrynosoma platyrhinos (Desert horned lizard)
Lineage: Eukaryota; Metazoa; Chordata; Lepidosauria; Squamata; Phrynosomatidae
Source: the annotation of a GenBank genome assembly
GAGCCAGUAUGGUGGAGUGGUUUGAGUGUUGGACUACAAUUCUGGAGACCAGGGUUCAAAUCCCUGCUGGGACA